AACCUGGGAACUGCAUUCGAAACUGGCAGGCUUGAGUCUUGUAGAGGGGGGUAGAAUUCCAGGUGUAGCGGUGAAAUGCGUAGAGAUCUGGAGGAAUACCGGUGGCGAAGGCGGCCCCCUGGACAAAGACUGACGCUCAGGUGCGAAAGCGUGGGGAGCAAACAGGAUUAGAUACCCUGGUAGUCCACGCCGUAAACGAUGUCUACUUGGAGGUUGUGCCCUUGAGGCGUGGCUUCCGGAGCUAACGCGUUAAGUAGACCGCCUGGGGAGUACGGCCGCAAGGUUAAAACUCAAAUGAAUUGACGGGGGCCCGCACAAGCGGUGGAGCAUGUGGUUUAAUUCGAUGCAACGCGAAGAACCUUACCUGGUCUUGACAUCCACAGAAGAAUCCAGAGAUGGAUUUGUGCCUUCGGGAACUGUGA
RNAcentral lists this ribosomal RNA (422 nucleotides) under Salmonella enterica subsp. enterica serovar Dublin. RNAcentral's name for it is "bacterial SSU rRNA". It matches the Rfam family "Bacterial small subunit ribosomal RNA", at positions 611 to 1032 of the family's 1533-position model. The record is from RNAcentral. Lineage: Bacteria; Pseudomonadati; Pseudomonadota; Gammaproteobacteria; Enterobacterales; Enterobacteriaceae.